This 460-nucleotide ribosomal RNA is filed under the name uncultured bacterium. Its description in RNAcentral is "partial 16S ribosomal RNA". It matches the Rfam family "Bacterial small subunit ribosomal RNA", at positions 338 to 795 of the family's 1533-position model. The record is from RNAcentral.
CCUACGGGAGGCAGCAGUGAGGAAUAUUGGUCAAUGGACGAGAGUCUGAACCAGCCAAGUAGCGUGAAGGAUGACUGCCCUAUGGGUUGUAAACUUCUUUUAUAAAGGAAUAAAACGAGGCACGUGUGCCUUUUUGCAUGUACUUUAUGAAUAAGGAUCGGCUAACUCCGUGCCAGCAGCCGCGGUAAUACGGAGGAUCCGAGCGUUAUCCGGAUUUAUUGGGUUUAAAGGGAGCGUAGAUGGGUUGGUAAGUCAGUUGUGAAAGGUUGCGGCUCAACCGUAAAAUUGCAAUUGAUACUGGCAGUCUUGAGUACAGUUGAGGUAGGCGGAAUUCGUGGUGUAGCGGUGAAAUGCUUAGAUAUUACGAAGAACCCCGAUUGCGAAGGCAGCUUACUAAACUGUGACUGACAUUGAUGCUCGAAAGUGUGGGUAUCAAACAGGAUUAGAUACCCGAGUAGUC